RNAcentral lists this ribosomal RNA (253 nucleotides) under uncultured bacterium. Its description in RNAcentral is "partial 16S ribosomal RNA". It matches the Rfam family "Bacterial small subunit ribosomal RNA", at positions 524 to 776 of the family's 1533-position model. The record is from RNAcentral.
UACAGAGGCCUCGAGCGUUAGGCGGAAUCACUGGGCUUAAAGCGUGUGUAGGCGGACUUCUAAGUACCUUGUGAAAUCCCACGGCUUACCCGUGGAACUGCUUGGUAUACUGGUUGUCUUGAGCCACUUAGGGGCUACCGGAACAAAUGGUGGAGCGGUGAAAUGCGUAGAUAUCAUUUGGAACGCCAAUGGUGAAAACAGGUAGCUGGGGCUGUGCUGACACUGAGACACGAAAGCCAGGGGAGCAAACGGG